Molecule: ribosomal RNA, 440 nt
Filed under: uncultured bacterium
Lineage: Bacteria
Description: bacterial SSU rRNA
Rfam family: Bacterial small subunit ribosomal RNA
Source: RNAcentral
AACGCGAAGAACCUUACCUACCCUUGACAUGUCAGGAAGCUUACAGAGAUGUAGGUGUGCCUUCGGGAACCUGAACACAGGUGCUGCAUGGCUGUCGUCAGCUCGUGUCGUGAGAUGUUGGGUUAAGUCCCGUAACGAGCGCAACCCCUGUCCUUAGUUACCAGCACGUAAUGGUGGGAACUCUAAGGAGACUGCCGGUGAUAAACCGGAGGAAGGUGGGGAUGACGUCAAGUCCUCAUGGCCCUUAUGGGUAGGGCUACACACGUGCUACAAUGGUCGGUACAGAGGGUUGCCAACCCGCGAGGGGGAGCCAAUCCCACAAAACCGAUCUCAGUCCGGAUUGAGGUCUGCAACUCGACCCCAUGAAGUUGGAAUCGCUAGUAAUCGUGGAUCAGAACGCCACGGUGAAUACGUUCCCGGGCCUUGUACACACCGCACGA